RNAcentral lists this ribosomal RNA (240 nucleotides) under uncultured bacterium. RNAcentral's name for it is "partial 16S ribosomal RNA". It matches the Rfam family "Bacterial small subunit ribosomal RNA", at positions 96 to 334 of the family's 1533-position model. The record is from RNAcentral.
UGGCAAACGGGUGAGUAACACGUAAACAACCUGCCUUCAGGAUGGGGACAACAGACGGAAACGACUGCUAAUACCGCAUAAGCCCACGGGUCGGCAUCGACCUGAGGGAAAAGGAGCAAUCCGCUUUGAGAUGGCCUCGCGUCCGAUUAGCUAGUUGGUGAGGUAACGGCCCACCAAGGCGACGAUCGGUAGCCGGACUGAGAGGUUGAACGGCCACAUUGGGACUGAGACACGGCCCAG